GACAAACGCUGGCGGCGUGCUUAACACAUGCAAGUCGAACGGAAAGGCCCUGCUUUUGUGGGGUGCUCGAGUGGCGAACGGGUGAGUAACACGUGAGUAACCUGCCCUUGACUUUGGGAUAACUUCAGGAAACUGGGGCUAAUACCGGAUAGGAGCUCCUGCUGCAUGGUGGGGGUUGGAAAGUUUCGGCGGUUGGGGAUGGACUCGCGGCUUAUCAGCUUGUUGGUGGGGUAGUGGCUUACCAAGGCUUUGACGGGUAGCCGGCCUGAGAGGGUGACCGGCCAAUUGGGGACGGGGAAGCCGCCCAGACCCCCGGGGGAGGCAGGAGGGGGGAAUUUUGCAAAAGGGGGGGAAACCUGACGCAGCAGCCGCGCGGGGGGGGAGGGGGCCCUGGGGGUGAAAACCGUUUUCCCCUGAGAACGAGCGGGAGUCGCGGAUAGGGGUAAAAAAACCCCCGCUAAAUGCG
This 466-nucleotide ribosomal RNA is filed under the name uncultured bacterium. Its description in RNAcentral is "partial 16S ribosomal RNA". It matches the Rfam family "Bacterial small subunit ribosomal RNA", at positions 28 to 505 of the family's 1533-position model. The record is from RNAcentral.